CCUACGGGGGGCUGCAGUGGGGAAUUUUGGACAAUGGGCGAAAGCCUGAUCCAGCCAUUCCGCGUGAGUGAAGAAGGCCUUCGGGUUGUAAAGCUCUUUCGCAAGGGAAGAAAACUUACAUUCUAAUAAAGUGUGAGGCUGACGGUACCUUGAUAAGAAGCACCGGCUAACUACGUGCCAGCAGCCGCGGUAAUACGUAGGGUGCGAGCGUUAAUCGGAAUUACUGGGCGUAAAGCGGGCGCAGGCGGUUUGGGAAGUCAGAUGUGAAAUCCCCGAGCUCAACUUGGGAACUUCGUUUGAAACUGCCAGACUAGAAUAUGUCAGAGGGGGGUAGAAUUCCACGUGUAGCAGUGAAAUGCGUAGAGAUGUGGAGGAAUACCAAUGGCGAAGGCAGCCCCCUGGGAUAAUAUUGACGCUCAUGCACGAAAGCGUGGGGAGCAAACAGGAUUAGAUACCCCUGUAGUCUGC
This 468-nucleotide ribosomal RNA is filed under the name uncultured Methylophilaceae bacterium. RNAcentral describes it as "bacterial SSU rRNA". It matches the Rfam family "Bacterial small subunit ribosomal RNA", at positions 338 to 798 of the family's 1533-position model. Lineage: Bacteria; Pseudomonadati; Pseudomonadota; Betaproteobacteria; Nitrosomonadales; Methylophilaceae. The record is from RNAcentral.